RNAcentral lists this small RNA (164 nucleotides) under Streptacidiphilus jiangxiensis. RNAcentral's name for it is "c-di-AMP sequence". It matches the Rfam family "c-di-AMP riboswitch aptamer (ydaO/yuaA leader)". From Rfam's summary of the family: This family represents a conserved RNA structure found upstream of the ydaO and yuaA genes in Bacillus subtilis and related genes in other bacteria. The ydaO/yuaA element is thought to act as a genetic "off" switch for the ydaO and yuaA genes in its native state. Lineage: Bacteria; Bacillati; Actinomycetota; Actinomycetes; Kitasatosporales; Streptomycetaceae. The record is from Rfam by way of RNAcentral.
UCAGGGGGAGGGCCACUUCGUCGGAGCCGGGGAACCAAUGGUUCCCGGGGUGAAUCGACGCCAGGGGCGGGCCGGUGCGACUCCGGGCCGAGUGAGGCGUCGUAGGACCUGCUUCCUGGUCCGAACCCGUCAGCUCACCCGGUAGGCGGACGUAGGAAGAAGGA